GAACAUGAUGUUGGUUUAGAUUAAACGCUAAAUAAGAGCAUUACACAUGCAAAUCAAACAUAUAUUAAGUAAUAUAUAUAUAUAUUACAUGACAUAUAAAAAAAUAUAUAAGUGGUGUAAACGUGAGUAAUUGAUUUAGAAUAAUAACUAUAAAUUUUUAAAAAAAUAAAAAAUAAAAAAUAAAGAUAUAUAAAAAAUAUUGUUUAUAGUAUAGCUAUUCAUUAGUUUAGGUAAUAAAUAUAAAAAAAGAAUAUUUAGCCAAUGAUCUAUAAUUGAUAACUAGAGUUAGAACGGUCACGUUGGUUCUGAAAUAAAACCAAUAUCUAAAAGAUACAGCAGUGUGGAAUAUUGGGCAAUGAUCGAAAGAUUGACCCAGCUACUUAUUAAGAUGAUUUAUUAUUAAAAAUAUAAUAAUUUGAUAAAUAUAAAAUCUAUAAAUAAUUAAAAUAAUGAUAUUAAUUAUCAUAUGUAAAUAUGAAUAUAUAUAUAUUAUAUAUAUUUUAUUAGUUCCUACUAAAAUUUGUGCCAGAAGUCUCGGUUAUACAAAGGGAGCGAGCGUUAGUUAUAAUGGCUUAAAGGGUCCGUAGAUGAUUAUAAUAUAUAUAUAAUUAGAGUUAAUAAAUUUAAUUAUAGAAUUAUAACAGGAGUGAUAAAAUAUAAUGAUAGUUAUAAGACUUGUAAAUGCGAAAGUUAUAAUUAAAUAUUAACUGACAUUGAGGGACGUAAGCUAGAGUAUCAAAAUGGAUUAGAUACCCAUGUAGUUCUAGCUGUAAACUAUGAACACUAUUUUAUUAUUAAAUAUAAUAAUAAUAAUAAUAAAAGUUAAAAUUAAAAGUGUUCCGCCUGGAGAGUACGUUGGCAACAAUGAAACUCAAGACAAUAGACGGUUACAGACCUCAGCAGUGGAGCAUGUUAUUUAAUUCGAUUAUCCCCGAUAAUUUUACCAUAUUUUGAAUAAUUUAUUAAUUAAUAUUUAAUAUUUAUUAAUAUUAUUACAGGUGUUACAUUGUUGUCUUUAGUUCGUGUCGUAAGAUUUCAGAUUUAUUUCACUAACGAACGAAACUCCAUAUAUAUAAAUUAUAUUAUAUAUAUUAUUAUAUUAUCAUAAUAUAUUUAUUAUUAUAUUUUAUAAAUAUUAUUUUAUUAUAUAUUAUGAUAUAUUUAUUUAAAAUAAUAAAAAGGAAUUAAGACAAAUCAUAAUGACCCUUAUAAUUAUGGGCUAUAGACGUGCUAUAUUAAAAUAUGAUAACAAAAUUAUAUAAAAUUUAAUAUUUAAAUUUAAUUAAUAAUAUAAAACAUAUUUAGACAUUCAUAAUUUUUAUUAUGAUAAUGUUAUAUGAAUUAUAAUCUGAAAUUCGAUUAUAUGAAAUAAGAAUUGCUAGUAAUGCGUAAAAUAUUAUGUUACGGUGAAUAUUACUUCUGUUUCGUACUAAUUACUCAUCACGUAUUGAAAUAAAUUAGGAUCAUAAUAUAUUAAUUUUUUUAAUUAAUUUUUUAUUUUUAUAAAUAUUUUUUUUAAUUUUAUUAAUAUCCCUGAACGACGUUAGAUUAAUACGAAGUUGAAAUACAGUUACUGUAGGUGAACCUGCAGUGG
Hanseniaspora osmophila is the source of this 1594-nucleotide ribosomal RNA. It matches the Rfam family "Bacterial small subunit ribosomal RNA". The record is from Rfam. Lineage: Eukaryota; Fungi; Ascomycota; Saccharomycetes; Saccharomycodales; Saccharomycodaceae.